RNAcentral lists this ribosomal RNA (204 nucleotides) under Staphylococcus pseudintermedius. Its description in RNAcentral is "partial 16S ribosomal RNA". It matches the Rfam family "Bacterial small subunit ribosomal RNA", at positions 1 to 199 of the family's 1533-position model. The record is from RNAcentral. Lineage: Bacteria; Bacillati; Bacillota; Bacilli; Caryophanales; Staphylococcaceae.
UUUAUGGAGAGUUUGAUCCUGGCUCAGGAUGAACGCUGGCGGCGUGCCUAAUACAUGCAAGUCGAGCGAACAGAUAAGGAGCUUGCUCCUUUGACGUUAGCGGCGGACGGGUGAGUAACACGUGGGUAACCUACCUAUAAGACUGGAAUAACUCCGGGAAACCGGGGCUAAUGCCGGAUAACAUGUUGAACCGCAUGGUUCUAC